This 921-nucleotide ribosomal RNA is filed under the name uncultured bacterium. Its description in RNAcentral is "bacterial SSU rRNA". It matches the Rfam family "Bacterial small subunit ribosomal RNA", at positions 8 to 896 of the family's 1533-position model. The record is from RNAcentral.
AGAGUUUGAUCAUGGCUCAGGAUGAACGCUAGCGGUGCGCCUAACACAUGCAAGUCGAGCGAUCGAACUGGACUGAUCACCCUUCGGGGUGAGAGGACCAGUGACGGAGCGGCGGACUGGUGAGUAACGCGUAGCUAACCUACCCCCUUGACAAGGAUAGCCACUCGAAAGGGUGGAUAAUACCCGAUAUUGCUCGAGAUCGAAAGAUCUUGAGCCAAAGGCGGUCUUGCCGUCGCAAGAGGAGGGGGCUGCGUCCUAUUAGCUUGUUGGUGGGGUAAUGGCCCACCAAGGCGAUGAUGGGUAGCUGGUCUGAGAAGAUGGCCAGCCACAUUGGGACUGAGAUACGGCCCAGACUCCUACGGGAGGCAGCAGUGGGGAAUCUUUCGCAAUGGACGAAAGUCUGACGGAGCGACACCGCGUGGGGGAUGAAUGCUUUCGGGUUGUAAACCCCUUUUCUGGGGGAAGAAUAAGGGCGGGAGGAAAUGCCCGUCCGAUGACGGUACCCCAGGAAUAAGCAUCGGCUAACUUCGUGCCAGCAGCCGCGGUAAGACGAAGGAUGCAAGCGUUAUCCGGAAUUACUGGGCGUAAAGGGCGCCUAGGCGGCUGAGUAAGUCACCCGUGAAAGCCCUCAGCUCAACUGAGGAAUGUCGAGUGAAACUGCCCAGCUUGGGUGCAGGAGAGGAGGGUGGAACUCACAGAGUAGCGGUGGAAUGCGUAGAUACUGUGAGGUACCCCGAUGGCGAAGGCAACCCUCUAGCCUGCUACCGACGCUGAAGCGCGAAAGCGUGGGGAGCAAAGGGGAUUAGAUACCCCCGUAGUCCACGCCGCAAACGAUGUUCACUGGGUGUCGGUCGCUAAUACAGAUCGGUGCCGGAGCUAACGCGUUAAGUGAACCGCCUGGGGAGUACGGCCGCAAGGCUA